UACGUAGGGUGCUAGCGUUGUCCGGAUUUAUUGGGCGUAAAGAGCUUGUAGGUGGCUCGUUGCGUCGGGAGUGAAAACCUGCGGCUUAACCGCAGGCCUGCUUCCGAUACGGGCGAGCUAGAGUUCGGCAGGGGAGACUGGAAUUCCUGGUGUAGCGGUGGAAUGCGCAGAUAUCAGGAGGAACACCGGUGGCGAAGGCGGGUCUCUGGGCCGAUACUGACACUGAGAAGCGAAAGCGUGGGGAGCGAACAGG
This 253-nucleotide ribosomal RNA is filed under the name uncultured bacterium. RNAcentral describes it as "partial 16S ribosomal RNA". It matches the Rfam family "Bacterial small subunit ribosomal RNA", at positions 524 to 776 of the family's 1533-position model. The record is from RNAcentral.